GGGGUUGUACUGGUUUCGACGGGGAUUUAGAAAUUACGGAAGCCAUUAGUGGACCAGACCACUAUAAAACAUGGAAUUAAAUAUAAACGCAGACGAAAAUUACGCGUACGCUGCCUAAUAUGGCAGCUGUCAGACCUUUGUUCACCGCAGCUUAGGAUUCUGGCAUCGAACGAGCGGUAAACUCUAGGGUGAAAGCUUUGACAUCUUAGAAAAAUUAUGAAGCUACCAAACCUGAUAGCCUGUCUGUAGGCGCUUAGGUAAGGGAAUGUCAAAAUACAGACUGUGAUGGGAGAUGCCGUAAUGGAAGAGUUUUCGGACGCGGGUUCGAUUCCCGCCAGCUCCAC
RNAcentral lists this transfer-messenger RNA (344 nucleotides) under pig gut metagenome. It matches the Rfam family "transfer-messenger RNA". From Rfam's summary of the family: Bacterial tmRNA, also known as 10Sa RNA or SsrA, is named for its dual tRNA and mRNA-like properties. Its role is to liberate the mRNA from a stalled ribosome. The record is from RNAcentral.